CAGCAGCCGCGGGAACACAGAGGGUGCGAGCGUUAAUCGGAUUUACUGGGCGUAAAGCGUGCGUAGGCGGCUUUUUAAGUCGGAUGUAAAAUCCCUGAGCUUAACUUAGGAAUUGCAUUCGAUACUGGGAAGCUAGAGUAUGGGAGAGGAUGGUAGAAUUCCAGGUGUAGCGGUGAAAUGCGUAGAGAUCUGGAGGAAUACCGAUGGCGAAGGCAGCCAUCUGGCCUAAUACUGACGCUGAGGUACGAAAGCAUGGGGAGCAAACAGGAUUAGAGACCCCUGUAGUCCCUGUCUCUUAUAC
This 301-nucleotide ribosomal RNA is filed under the name uncultured bacterium. Its description in RNAcentral is "partial 16S ribosomal RNA". It matches the Rfam family "Bacterial small subunit ribosomal RNA", at positions 509 to 807 of the family's 1533-position model. The record is from RNAcentral.